This 557-nucleotide ribosomal RNA is filed under the name Megabalanus stultus. Its description in RNAcentral is "partial 16S ribosomal RNA". It matches the Rfam family "Bacterial large subunit ribosomal RNA", at positions 1782 to 2621 of the family's 2925-position model. Lineage: Eukaryota; Metazoa; Arthropoda; Thecostraca; Balanomorpha; Balanidae. The record is from RNAcentral.
ACGAGGGGCGUCGCCUGUUUAACAAAAACAUUUCCUCCUAGAAAAGGAGGUAAGGCCUGCUCACUGAAUUUUUUAAAGAGCCGCAGUAUCCUAACUGUGCUAAGGUAGCAUAAUCAUUAGUCUUUUAAUUGGAGACUGGUAUGAAUGGCUAAACGAGAAAUUGACUUUUUUUGUUAUAGAAAUUGAACUUAAUUUUUUAGUGAAAAAGCUAAAAUUUUUCAGAAAGACGAGAAGACCCUAUAGAGUUUUAUGCUUUAAAAUACUUUCCCUAAAUUGAUUUUUUCAGGUAAAAUAUAAAUAAGCAUUUUGUUGGGGCGACAUUAAGAUAAAAAAAACUCUUUAUUUUUUAAAUUUUUAUUUAAAUAUAAUUGAUCCUCUAAAAGAGAUCAAAAGAAAAAAUUACCUUAGGGAUAACMGCGURAUCUUUUUUGAGAGUUCUAAUCGACAAAAAGGUUUGCGACCUCGAUGUUGGACUAAAAUUUAGGCAGGGUGCAGCAGUUCUGCUUUAAGGUCUGUUCGACCUAUAAUAUUUUACAUGAUCUGAGUUCCAAACCGGA